RNAcentral lists this ribosomal RNA (588 nucleotides) under uncultured eukaryote. Its description in RNAcentral is "eukaryotic LSU rRNA". The stretch from base 227 to 380 matches the Rfam family "5.8S ribosomal RNA". The record is from RNAcentral.
AAGUCGUAACAAGGUUUCCGUAGGUGAACCUGCGGAAGGAUCAUUAAAGAGUAAGGGUGCUCAGCGCCCGACCUCCAACCCUUUGUUGUUAAAACUACCUUGUUGCUUUGGCGGGACCGCUCGGUCUCGAGCCGCUGGGGAUUCGUCCCAGGCGAGCGCCCGCCAGAGUUAAACCAAACUCUUGUUAUUUAACCGGUCGUCUGAGUUAAAAUUUUGAAUAAAUCAAAACUUUCAACAACGGAUCUCUUGGUUCUCGCAUCGAUGAAGAACGCAGCGAAAUGCGAUAAGUAAUGUGAAUUGCAGAAUUCAGUGAAUCAUCGAAUCUUUGAACGCACAUUGCGCCCCUUGGUAUUCCGAGGGGCAUGCCUGUUCGAGCGUCAUUACACCACUCAAGCUAUGCUUGGUAUUGGGUGCCGUCCUUAGUUGGGCGCGCCUUAAAGACCUCGGCGAGGCCUCACCGGCUUUAGGCGUAGUAGAAUUUAUUCGAACGUCUGUCAAAGGAGAGGACUUCUGCCGACUGAAACCUUUAUUUUUCUAGGUUGACCUCGGAUCAGGUAGGGAUACCCGCUGAACUUAAGCAUAUCAAUA